UACGUAGGGUGCAAGCGUUAAUCGGAAUUACUGGGCGUAAAGCGUGCGCAGGCGGCUUUGCAAGGCAGAUGUGAAAUCCCCGGGCUCAACCUGGGAACUGCAUUUGUGACUGCAAGGCUAGAGUACGGUAGAGGGGGAUGGAAUUCCGCGUGUAGCAGUGAAAUGCGUAGAUAUGCGGAGGAACACCGAUGGCGAAGGCAAUCCCCUGGACCUGUACUGACGCUCAUGCACGAAAGCGUGGGGAGCAAACAGG
Molecule: ribosomal RNA, 253 nt
Filed under: uncultured bacterium
Lineage: Bacteria
Description: partial 16S ribosomal RNA
Rfam family: Bacterial small subunit ribosomal RNA
Source: RNAcentral